This 501-nucleotide ribosomal RNA is filed under the name uncultured bacterium. RNAcentral's name for it is "partial 16S ribosomal RNA". It matches the Rfam family "Bacterial small subunit ribosomal RNA", at positions 30 to 523 of the family's 1533-position model. The record is from RNAcentral.
AUUGAACGCUGGCGGCAUGCCUUACACAUGCAAGUCGAACGGCAGCACGGGUGCUUGCACCUGGUGGCGAGUGGCGAACGGGUGAGUAAUACAUCGGAACGUACCUUAUCGUGGGGGAUAACGCAGCGAAAGCUGUGCUAAUACCGCAUACGCCCUGAGGGGGAAAGCGGGGGAUCGCAAGACCUCGCGCGAUUAGAGCGGCCGAUGCCUGAUUAGCUUGUUGGUGGGGUAAAAGCCCACCAAGGCGACGAUCAGUAGCUGGUCUGAGAGGACGAUCAGCCACACUGGGACUGAGACACGGCCCAGACUCCUACGGGAGGCAGCAGUGGGGAAUUUUGGACAAUGGGGGCAACCCUGAUCCAGCAAUGCCGCGUGAGUGAAGAAGGCCUUCGGGUUGUAAAGCUCUUUUGUCAGGGAAGAAACACCGGCUCUAACACAGUCUGGGAAUGACGGUACCUGAAGAAUAAGCAUCGGCUAACUGCGUGCCAGCAGCCGCCGUAA